CCCCUAGAUGUUCUGGGCCGCACGCGCGCUACACUGAACAGUUCAACAAGUCUUAACCUUGGCCGAUAGGUCUGGGUAAUCUUUGAACGCUGUUCGUGAUUGGGAUAGACCUUUGCAAUUAUGGGUCUUCAACGAGGAAUUCCUAGUAAACGCAAGUCAUCAGCUUGCAUUGAUUACGUCCCUGCCCUUUGUACACACCGCCCGCUGCACCUACCGAUUGAAUGGUCCGGUGAAAUCUCGGGACGGCGGCUUGGUCGCUUGCGUCCGACUGCUGAAACUUGAUUAAACCAUAUCAUUUAGAGGAAGGUGAAGUCGUAACA
Molecule: ribosomal RNA, 320 nt
Filed under: uncultured eukaryote
Lineage: Eukaryota
Description: partial 18S ribosomal RNA
Rfam family: Eukaryotic small subunit ribosomal RNA
Source: RNAcentral